CGUGUAGGCGGCUUGCUAAGUCUUGCGUGAAAUCUCGGGGCUCAACCCCGAGCGGUCGUGAGAAACUGGCAGGCUAGAGUGCGGGAGAGGAGAGUGGAAUUCCUGGUGUAGCGGUGAAAUGCGCAGAUAUCAGGAAGAACACCCGUGGCGAAGGCGGCUCUCUGGAACGCAACUGACGCUGAGACGCGAAAGCGUGGGAGCAAACA
RNAcentral lists this ribosomal RNA (206 nucleotides) under uncultured bacterium. Its description in RNAcentral is "partial 16S ribosomal RNA". It matches the Rfam family "Bacterial small subunit ribosomal RNA", at positions 568 to 774 of the family's 1533-position model. The record is from RNAcentral.